AUACAUGCAAGUCGAACGAUACCAGAGGGCUUGCUCUCUGGGAAAGUGGCGCACGGGUGCGUAACGCGUAUGCAACCUACCUUAAUCAGGGGGAUAGCCUCUCGAAAGAGAGAUUAACACCGCAUAAAAUCACAAGCUGGCAUCAGCAAAUGAUCAAAUAUUUAUAGGAUUAAGAUGGGCAUGCGUGACAUUAGUUAGUUGGUGAGGUAACGGCUCACCAAGACCACGAUGUCUAGGGGAUCUGAGAGGAUGACCCCCCACACUGGUACUGAGACACGGACCAGACUCCUACGGGAGGCAGCAGUAAGGAAUAUUGGUCAAUGGGGGCAACCCUGAACCAGCCAUGCCGCGUGCAGGAAGACGGCCCUACGGGUUGUAAACUGCUUUUAUACGGGAAUAAACCUUUCUUCGUGAAGAGAGCUGAAUGUACUGUAAGAAUAAGGAUCGGCUAACUCCGUGCCAGCAGCCGCGGUAAUACGGAGGAUCCAAGCGUUAUCCGGAUUUAUUGGGUUUAAAGGGUGCGUAGGCGGCCUGUUAAGUCAGGGGUGAAAUUUUUCGGCUCAACCGGAAGCUUGCCUUUGAUACUGAUGGGCUUGAUUACACUUGAGGUAGGCGGAAUGUGACAAGUAGCGGUGAAAUGCAUAGAUAUGUCACAGAACACCAAUUGCGAAGGCAGCUUACUAAGGUGUUAAUGACGCUGAGGCACGAAAGCGUGGGGAUCAAACAGGAUUAGAUACCCUGGUAGUCCACGCCCUAAACGAUGAAUACUCGAUGUUAGCGAUAUACAGUUAGCGUCAAAGCGAAAGCGUUAAGUAUUCCACCUGGGGAGUACGCCCGCAAGGGUGAAACUCAAAGGAAUUGACGGGGGCCCGCACAAGCGGAGGAGCAUGUGGUUUAAUUCGAUGAUACGCGAGGAACCUUACCCGGGCUUGAAAGUUACUGAAGUAUCCAGAGAUGGAUGCGUCCGCAAGGACAGGAAACUAGGUGCUGCAUGGCUGUCGUCAGCUCGUGCC
This 1013-nucleotide ribosomal RNA is filed under the name uncultured bacterium. RNAcentral's name for it is "bacterial SSU rRNA". It matches the Rfam family "Bacterial small subunit ribosomal RNA", at positions 51 to 1066 of the family's 1533-position model. The record is from RNAcentral.